Molecule: RNA transcript, 4094 nt
Organism: Triticum aestivum (bread wheat)
Lineage: Eukaryota; Viridiplantae; Streptophyta; Magnoliopsida; Poales; Poaceae
Gene name: disease resistance protein RPM1-like
Exons: 5
Source: RefSeq, a predicted model, not a curated record
CGGAUGGAGCUAGGGAGUAGUAAUUAGUUAUCACCUGACCUGCUCACCCAUAAUUACUCACUACCAAAUGGAAUUUGCCAGAAAAUUUGCAGAAAAUUAUUUUAUUUAGUACACCACCCAAUGGAAUGUGUAGGUGACACAAGCACUCUUACUAGUACCCAAUAAUUUCAGCGAUUGCUUUCACGAUCGAGAGAGAAAGGGAUGUGGUGUAGAAUUCCGUGGAUGGAAGUUGGACCAGAUGAGUGGAUCUGGAUGCUGCUACAGAUUGCCAGAGAUAAGGCUCCAUUUGGCUCGAUUAGAACUGCGUGGUCACCCAAGAAACAGCAAUUUCUAAGUAGCUUCAGCCACACCUACCAUUGACCUGACUUGACUUGCAGGUUUAGUAGCUGCCUCUCUUGAGACGGCUUCGGCAACAAGACUAGUAUUAUUCCAUACUAUCACCAAGCCAUGACACAGUUUUGAAGAAUUUCAAGUCCUGAAGCGCACAAGGAGGAGCUCCAGAUCUACACCGCUUACCGUCUAGGUGGUUUGUUCUGCGGUUUCAUGGGUAAGAAGAACAAGGAGGACACCUCAAGCUGAAGAUCAAAGCCAGCUACUUGUGUUCACCAACAAGCUAGAACAGUCUCGGUCAUGUCGACAGUUCAGGAUCUCUAUGACUAAGCUUCAAUGACAACAAGAACAGAGCUUAAUCAACAACUCUAGCUAUUUGUUUCUUCAUACAUAUGGAUAUACUAUUAGAUGGGUGUUGAGAAAAAUAUGGAAGUAAGCUACCUGGAACUGUCACAUUAGCCUACGUUCAUAUUAGCGAACUGGCAGUUGCCAUCCUAAUUAUAUUGAGGAAGAAUAAACAGCUAGGCCACCACCCAACAGUGAGACGUUAGCACAUAUCAGAAAAUAAUGGCGGAGACUGUGAUUCUUCUAGCCAUUCAAAAGAUUGGAAUUGCCUUAGCAAAUGGAGCGGCAAACCAAGCCAGUGCACUGUUUGUGAAGUACGGCACGCAACUACUAGAAUUACAGCGUGGCAUGGAUCGUGUUGUGAGGGAGCUUCGUUUAAUGCAUGAAUUUCUGUGUCAAAUGGACAUUCGAAACCGCAAUAAAAAAGCAUAUGAGAUCUGGUUGGGGGAGGUACGGAAAGUAGCACAUGUGAUGGAGGACAUGGUGGAUGAGUACUUGUAUCUAGUUGGUCAGGAACAUGAUGUUGGUUUUUUCUUUUUCCUGAAGAAUGGGUUCAAAAAGCCAAGAUCUCUACUUUCUUUGAACCAGAUAGCUUUUAAGGUGAAGGAAAUAGAGAAAGACCUUUCACACCUAUCAGAGAGAAAAACCCGUUGGGUUCUCGUGAACAAUGAGGAUACAAGCAGCUCGGACUACAUUGUCAAGAGGUCCCAAGAGCUAGCAAACAUUUCACGUCGCCUUGAGGAGGAAGAUCUAGUGGGGGUCGACAAGAAUAGAGAAUUACUUCAGCAGUGGUUGGCAGGUGAUCAUUUGGAACGCUCCGUGAUAGCACUGCUUGGAAUGGGAGGGCUUGGUAAGACAGCUUUAGCUGCAAAUGUCUACAGGAAUGUGAGGGAGAAAUUUCAGUGCCAUGCAUGGGUCUCCAUCUCUCAAACUUAUUCUAGAGAAGAUGUCUUAAGGAAUAUAAUCAAGGAACUUUCUAGAGAUAAAGACAGUGUUCUAUCUAACACUGCGGAUAUGGACAUCACAUGCCUUCAAGAGACGCUAAAGAAGUUUUUGGAGCAACACAAGUAUUUGAUCAUUUUGGAUGAUAUUUGGACUCCAGAAGUAUUUAAUGAUUUAUCUAGGAUAUGUAUUCAUAAUGAGAAGGGCAGCCGGCUGCUAAUCACAACAAGGGUAGGCCGUGUUGCUGCACUUGCCUCUCAAGGGUGCAUCUUAACACUCGAAGCUUUACCCGAAGACAAGGCACGGGAUCUUUUUUGUAAGAAAGCCUUUUCAAGAGAUACGAAUUAUGAAUGUCCAGUGCAGUUGAAGCCUUUGUCUGAUGAAAUAUCUAGCAAGUGCAAAGGAUUGCCUCUUGUUAUUGUGCUAGUUGGUGGCCUCUUCCUUGUGCAUGAGAAAACUGUGGAAGAAUGGAGAAGAAUAAAUUCCCAAUUAAAUUGGGAGCUGAUUAAUAAUCCGGAGUUCGAUCACAUCAGGAAUGUUUUUCAUCUCAGCUUUAUCUAUCUUCCAACACAUUUGAAAAGUUGUGUCCUGUACUGCAGCUUAUUUCCAGAAGACUAUAUUUUGAAAAGGAAACAACUUGUGCGGUUAUGGAUCGCAGAGGGGUUCGUCCAGGAGAGAGGUGAAUGCACAUUAGAAGAAGUGGCGGAGGGAUAUCUAAAGGAGUUGACUGACAGAAACAUGCUACAACUUAUUGAGAGGAACCACUUUGGUAGGAUGAAGAAAUUCAGAAUGCACGAUCUCGUACGUGAACUGGCAGUUGAUUUGUGCAAGAAAAACUGUUUUGGUGUUAGUUAUGAGGAUCAGUGUGUGGAGUCUCUUGAGAUGGAUGGACGUCGGUUGGUGCUUCACAAACUGAAGAAGGAUAUUCAGGAGCCAUUUUCCAAUAUGCACCAACUUCGUACUGUCAUUACACUGGGCGGUAGCAAGUCAUCAUUCACUUUACUACCUCUGCUAUGCACAGAGUCAAGAUAUAUGACAGUGCUAGAAUUAAGUGGUCUACCCAUGGAGAAGAUUCCAGAUGCUAUUGGGGAUCUUUUUAAUCUCCGCCAUUUGGGUUUGCGGGGUUCAAAGGUGAAGAUGCUCCCGAAGACUAUUGAGAACCUUUCAAAUUUGUUGACACUCGACCUUUAUGAAUCUGACAUACAUAAGUUUCCCAGUGGGAUUGUGAAACUAAAGAAGCUUAGGCACUUAUUUGCUGUGAUAGUAAUUCAUCGAGAAGGAAAUUUUUCUAAAUAUGGUGUGCGUAUCCCCAAUGGUCUUGGAAAUCUAACAAACCUGCAGACGCUACAAGCAUUGGAAGCACAAGAUGAGUCUCUUAGGCAUUUAGGGGAGCUGAGGCAAAUGAGAAGCUUGAGGUUAUGGAAUGUGAAGGGAAUUUACUGUGGACGCAUCAGUGAGUCUCUAGGUCAGAUGCGGUACUUGUCCAGCCUAGAUCUGAAUGCAAGUGACGAUAGUGAGGUUCUCUUGUUGAAUGUCUGCCUGCCAAACCUGCAAAAGCUACGUUUGAUGGGGCGACUAGCGGAAGGGGUGUUGGACGAGUCUCCUCUCUUCCAAGCUGAUGGGGGGCAGAACUUGUAUUCAUUGUCUGUUAUGGUCACAACUGAGAGAAGACCCCCUGCAAUCCCUUUCUCGGUUGUCAAACUUGACAUAUCUACAGUUUACCAGAGCAUACAACGGAGAGCAGCUGGCAUUUCUCACGGGGUGGUUUCCCAAGCUAAAGAUUCUCUAUCUCGGCGGCCUGCCUAAUCUGAGUCGGCUAGAGAUACAGCAAGGUGCCAUGGAGAGCCUGGAGGCAUUAUGCUUAAGCAAACUCAGCAGCAUGACGAAGGUCCCAGCUGGCAUUGAGUUCCUCCUGCCCCUCCAGUAUCUAAACUUCCGCGAAAUAACCAUUGACUUCUUGGCGGAGCUGCGCUGUUCUGCAAUUGGAGGGGAUCGGUGGUGGUAUACUCUCCGAGAUUGACCUGCCACACUGGUCGUGAAAUGCGUAGAUUCGAUUAAGUCAGUUAUAAGUUCGUGCCGCUGCCGAUAUAUAUACUACAAUACGGUCUGGAUUUCCUCUGCGUUUACAAGACGUACUACUGCCUGUGUUUGCUGCUGCUACUCUGAGUUUACAAGAUGAAACUUCAGCUAGCGGCCUAGCGCUUCCUCUGCUUUUUCAAGACGUGUACGGACUUGUUCACUUCUGAUGCUGCUACUGCCUGCGUUUACCACUGCUCCUGCUACUUCUGGUGCUUCUUGUCAAGCAUGAUAAUUAGAUGCCACUUAUUGUAUGACGUGUUUUCAUUUUCAGACUAUUUUCCCCUUUGCGUUACCUGUUUGAACUACUUCCUUCUAUUCGUGUGCGCUGGUUGUGAACUAUGUACGAUAUCGCCUGCUUCAGCUGUGGCUGUUAAAUAAAAGACUUUGUUUGUGAUUCA